RNAcentral lists this ribosomal RNA (254 nucleotides) under uncultured bacterium. Its description in RNAcentral is "partial 16S ribosomal RNA". It matches the Rfam family "Bacterial small subunit ribosomal RNA", at positions 524 to 776 of the family's 1533-position model. The record is from RNAcentral.
UACGUAGGGGGGCAAGCGUUGUCCGGAAUCAUUGGGCGUAAAGAGCGUGUAGGCGGCUCGGUAAGUCCGCUGUGAAAGUCCAGGGCUCAACCCCUGGAAUGCCGGUGGAAACUGUCGAGCUAGAGUCCGGAAGAGGCGAGUGGAAUCCUGGUGUAGCGGUGAAAUGCGCAGAUAUCAGGAGGAACACCAAUGGCGAAGGCAGCUCGCUGGGACGGUACUGACGCUGAGACGCGAAAGCGUGGGGAGCAAACGGG